This 407-nucleotide ribosomal RNA is filed under the name Myxozyma monticola. Its description in RNAcentral is "SSU rRNA". It matches the Rfam family "Bacterial small subunit ribosomal RNA", at positions 488 to 938 of the family's 1533-position model. Lineage: Eukaryota; Fungi; Ascomycota; Lipomycetes; Lipomycetales; Lipomycetaceae. The record is from RNAcentral.
GUCCCGACCAAAUCUCGUGCCAGCAGUCGCGGUAAGACGAGGGGGGCAAGCGUUAAUCUCAAUUAUUCGGUCUAAAGGGUCCGUAGACGGCAUUAUAAGUUCCUUGAAGAAGGUAAUACUGUAAAGCUAGAGUUAAAUAGGAGGAAUUAGUAUUUUUUAAGUAAGGAUUAAAUCUAAAUAUAAGGAAGACUACCAAAAGCGAAGGCAUUUUUCUAUAUUUAACUGACGUUGAGGGACGAAAGCUAGGGUCGCGAUCCGGAUUAGAUACCCGAGUAGUCCUAGCCCGUAACGAUGAAUGCUAAUUCUUUUUAAGAAUACAGUGAAGACGUUAAGCAUUCCACCUGGAGAGUACGUUCUCUAGAAUGAAAUCCAAGACAUUAGACGGUUGUAGACCCCAGCAGUUAAGC